This 253-nucleotide ribosomal RNA is filed under the name uncultured bacterium. RNAcentral's name for it is "partial 16S ribosomal RNA". It matches the Rfam family "Bacterial small subunit ribosomal RNA", at positions 524 to 776 of the family's 1533-position model. The record is from RNAcentral.
GACAGAGGGUGCAAACGUUGCUCGGAAUUACUGGGCGUAAAGGGCGCGUAGGCGGCCUGCUAAGUCGGAUGUGAAAUCCCUCGGCUCAACCGAGGAACUGCAUCCGAUACUGGCGGGCUUGAAUCCGGGAGAGGGAUGUGGAAUUCCAGGUGUAGCGGUGAAAUGCGUAGAUAUCUGGAGGAACACCGGUGGCGAAGGCGGCAUCCUGGACCGGUAUUGACGCUGAGGCGCGAAAGCUAGGGGAGCAAACGGG